Molecule: RNA transcript, 711 nt
Organism: Solanum pennellii
Lineage: Eukaryota; Viridiplantae; Streptophyta; Magnoliopsida; Solanales; Solanaceae
Exons: 3
Source: RefSeq, a predicted model, not a curated record
UCAUAUUUUCAUAUCUCGUCUUUCUUUGGCCUAAGCAGCAACAACAAUGGUGAGCUCCGGCCAGCGAGUUAGUGAAAGCACCGGUGCCACCCUCUCCACCUAUGAGAUCCAGAGAAGAAUUUCCUAUCCUCUUAUCUCCCCCUCUCACCCUUCGUCCCUCUCUUUUCUUCUCUGCUUUCUGCCUUCCUGCAAAGCCCCAGACUACCACAAAUAGCAGCGGUGGAGAAACAGCGAACAACAACAUCAUCUCCAGUCGCCUGCUUUUCCAAAAAAGCCAUCAAAGCAGCGAGCACCAGCAACCGGCAUCCACCAGUAUUCAAGCUUAGUGUCGCAAUUGGGUGCCCUAGAGAGGAUGCAAUUGUUCAGCCUACAUUGGUGAUUGUUUACUUUUGUAGUAAUGAAUCAACGGGGCCUCAUUCAUUGGUGAUUUUCUAGCAAGAUUGAUUUGUGUCCAUCUAGUGUUGAUAAUGAGCUUUAAUUUAGGAAUAAUGUAUUUGUUUAGCAUAAAUACCUACACUACUUAAUCCUAUUAAUGACUGUCACGCUCAGAGCCUACACCCUGGACGUGGCCGACACACAACAUCAUUGCUGUCCAUGAGCUAACCUGUGGACUGUCAUACUUAACUCAGUGGAAGACUUAACUUAACUUAAUUGUAAAGCUAGAAUCUAAUGAGAAAUACUUUAAAUAAUAGUUUUGGCCAAAAUGACACU